This 253-nucleotide ribosomal RNA is filed under the name uncultured bacterium. Its description in RNAcentral is "partial 16S ribosomal RNA". It matches the Rfam family "Bacterial small subunit ribosomal RNA", at positions 524 to 776 of the family's 1533-position model. The record is from RNAcentral.
UACAGAGGGGGCAAGCGUUGUUCGGAAUUACUGGGCGUAAAGGGCGCGUAGGCGGCGUGCUAAGUCGAACGUGAAAUCCCCGGGCUCAACCCGGGAACUGCGUCCGAGACUGGCAUGCUUGAAUCCGGGAGAGGGAUGUGGAAUUCCAGGUGUAGCGGUGAAAUGCGUAGAUAUCUGGAGGAACAUCGGUGGCGAAGGCGGCAUCCUGGACCGGUAUUGUCGCUGAGGCGCGAAAGCCAGGGGAGCAAACGGG